CUUUAAAGGAGGAGAAAUAAGUAUUAUAUGCGUUUUUCUAAAAAGAGUUAUUUUUUGUCACCGCACCUGCGUCAUGACGUCACUGCGCGCUCCAGUGGCAGGCGCGCCCGUGAUGCUCUUCAUACAUGCUGAGUGAACAGUAAAUGAAGACAUCACGAGAGCGCUUGUGUUCAGCGUUUUAUUUCUUUAUUCUUUAUAACUUCAUUUCAGGUUUCCAGCUCUUUUGCCACACGCCUUUUCGGAUACCCUGUUGGAUUAUUCUCAUCGCAUUCAUCCUAAUGUUGGUCCUGUCUUUAAUGUUCAGCUCCAUCGCCAUUAAGGAAAAAAAGGCCUGUUGCCUUUCAUCUAGUUUUUCGCUGCAGUUCUUUUUUUGUGGCCAGAAUUUCUUCAGGAGAUCGUCCAGCUCCUCCUCAUCCUGCUUUGUUUGGGCAUCUGCUAGCUGCGAGGCUAUAUUGUCGCUGUUUUUGUUGCUCUCUUCAGUGGCGCUUUCGUCGUUGGCACUGCUGUCGCUGUCAUAGUUGUUGGGAGAAGUGUUUACCUCACUGACUUGACUUUUAUGCCACUAGGAUACUGUGAACUCCAAGUGCACACUGCUCAAUCAGUCCUGUUCACCACCCACUCUGACUGCCUCACACCGACGUUUAUCUGAAUAACAAACGGGGAUGAUGUUGCAAAAUGGGUCUGCCGCUCAGGGAGUUACUCCAUCGAACAUCUAUCCCAGCGGUGCCUCCAAAAUGUAGUACUUCUGAAAUGAAGUUAUAAAGAAUAAAGAAAUAAAACAUUGAACACAA
Danio rerio (zebrafish) is the source of this 791-nucleotide non-coding RNA. The record is from RefSeq and is a predicted model, not a curated record. NCBI's taxonomy places the organism in Eukaryota, Metazoa, Chordata, Actinopteri, Cypriniformes, Danionidae.